RNAcentral lists this transfer RNA (58 nucleotides) under Salmo salar (Atlantic salmon). It matches the Rfam family "tRNA", at positions 8 to 63 of the family's 71-position model. From Rfam's summary of the family: Transfer RNA (tRNA) molecules are approximately 80 nucleotides in length. Their secondary structure includes four short double-helical elements and three loops (D, anti-codon, and T loops). Lineage: Eukaryota; Metazoa; Chordata; Actinopteri; Salmoniformes; Salmonidae. The record is from Rfam by way of RNAcentral.
UAGCUCAGUUGGUAGAGCAUGGUGUUUGCAAUGCCAGGGUUGUGGGUUCGUUUCCCAU